Schistosoma mansoni is the source of this 45-nucleotide non-coding RNA. The record is from Rfam. Lineage: Eukaryota; Metazoa; Platyhelminthes; Trematoda; Strigeidida; Schistosomatidae.
AUCCAGCUGACGAGUCCUAAAUAGGGCGAAACGCUCGUCCUGGAU